AAGACUGACGCUCAGGUGCGAAAGCGUGGGGAGCAAACAGGGAUUAGAUACCCUGGUAGUCCACGCCGUAAACGAUGUCGACUUGGAGGUUGUGCCCUUGAGGCGUGGCUUCCGGAGCUAACGCGUUAAGUCGACCGCCUGGGGAGUACGGCCGCAAGGUUAAAACUCAAAUGAAUUGACGGGGGCCCGCACAAGCGGUGGAGCAUGUGGUUUAAUUCGAUGCAACGCGAAGAACCUUACCUGGUCUUGACAUCCACAGAACUUUCCAGAGAUGGAUUGGUGCCUUCGGGAACUGUGAGACAGGUGCUGCAUGGCUGUCGUCAGCUCGUGUUGUGAAAUGUUGGGUUAAGUCCCGCAACGAGCGCAACCCUUAUCCUUUGUUGCCAGCGGUCCGGCCGGGAACUCAAAGGAGACUGCCAGUGAUAAACUGGAGGAAGGUGGGGAUGACGUCAAGUCAUCAUGGCCCUUACGACCAGGGCUACACACGUGCUACAAUGGCGCAUACAAAGAGAAGCGACCUCGCGAGAGCAAGCGGACCUCAUAAAGUGCGUCGUAGUCCGGAUUGGAGUCUGCAACUCGACUCCAUGAAGUCGGAAUCGCUAGUAAUCGUGGAUCAGAAUGCCACGGUGAAUACGUUCCCGGGCCUUGUACACACCGCCCGUCACACCAUGGGAGUGGGUUGCAAAAGAAGUAGGUAAAGGAACCUUCGGGAGGGCGCUUACCACUU
Molecule: ribosomal RNA, 727 nt
Filed under: uncultured organism
Description: SSU rRNA
Rfam family: Bacterial small subunit ribosomal RNA
Source: RNAcentral